UCAAAACAAAAUCUCAUGAGGCAACAAUUCUCAUAUACAAUAUUAAUAUCAAGAUUUCAACAAAAUCUCAUGAGGGGCAGGUAACAAUAUUCAUUUACAAAAUUCAAGAUUUCUUGAAACAUUCUUCCUGUGAAGCGAAUGUACUAAGCUUCAAAGACCAUAUAUCAAAAUGAUUAAAAAAUACAUAGAAAAAGAAAAGAAAAUUGAAUAAGAGAGAUCAAGCUCUAGUAUUUUUUUUUUGUCUGCUACUUUACUUAUCUGUUGUGUAGAGGAUUUGGACCGGUACGAACUUUCCUCUUAUCAUCACCAAAAAUCUCAUCCAUAUUUGGAAUAUUAGUUCCUCUUGAGAAGAAGCCACGUUUAUGAGAUUUAUCACUUCUCUUUAUAGAAGAAGAAUAAUCACCUUUAAAUCUGUAAAACUUGCCAAUAUUUCCAUUUUCUGCACCACAGCAAUAUGGAACUUUGAAAUGCAAAAGCCCCAAAAGAAGAAUAAGACAUAAAAAUGCCAAACUCAACUGUUUCUUGCUAAAAACCCAAGUCAUGGCUCAUGGGAUUUUCAAGAAAAGAUGGCAAAGUAGAGGUCUAUGGGCUGCUAAAUAAUAAAAUUAAUAAAGCGUUCUUCUCUUUUGGAUGCCUAGAAAUUCGGACUGAUGUAUUAAGUCAAAUGCAUAAAUUUUGCUGCCUUGUAGUAUAGUAUUACAAAAUCUUGGUUUUUGUGAAAUAUUUUAGUAGUAGAAGAAGAGAAGUGGAAGUGCUGUGAACUUUUUUCAGUUGCCAAUUUCAGAGCCAAAUUUGCUCUCUAAACAUGGCCACACAGAAACAAAGGAAAAGAAAAGAAGAACCCCUUUUAGGAGUUUGAUAAAGAGGGGUGGGUGGGUGGAUGGUUGGGAGAUUUAUAAAGAAAUAUAGUAAAAGAAUUUGAGCUGACUUAUUAGGGAAAAGUGAAGUGGUCACUAUGCUACUCACUCACUUGUAUUCAAUCUCUCAAAAAUCUUGGGUCAUGUGAGAACAAUCAUUUUCUUGGGUUUUUAUUAUUUGUUCUUUCUUUCUCUCUUCAGUUUGGUUUUUUGUUGUUGUUGGGAAAGUAGUGGGUACGAGUUGAAAAGGAAAGAUUAAUGCCUUUCAUGCUUCAAAAGUCUACAAUUCCAUUAUAUAUAUUUCAGAG
This 1165-nucleotide long non-coding RNA is filed under the name Nicotiana benthamiana. RNAcentral's name for it is "long non-coding RNA (NBEN_LNC040677)". The record is from RNAcentral. Lineage: Eukaryota; Viridiplantae; Streptophyta; Magnoliopsida; Solanales; Solanaceae.